CCACCAGCGUGGACCUCCAAAUGUGAAGGAUCUAAUUUUAUAAUACGUUAUCGUUUCUAUAGCAACAGCUCAGUCACAGGGACUGGAUAAGAGAGAGGCUGGCGAAGGAAAGAUCGUUUAUACCUGCUGGAGCGUAAACGAGAACGAGAACUGAAAGCUAGUCAGUAGUCGUAUUAGUUGCAUGAAUACACUUUAGUAAAGUAACCGAACCAGAGCGUCAUCCUGAGCAUCGUAAAAAAAACAAAACAAUUCUAUUUAAAAUUGGAGAAUUUUUUAUUCAAGCCAGAAACAUCAAAAACAGUAUUUUUUAAAAAUAUCAUUUCAUAUGACAGAACGCAGUUCCGUACGCACCUGGGGUCAAACAGGAAGUAAUAGAACGAGAAAGAAAGAGACAGAGAGGCAGAAUAGAUACGGAGAUUGGAAACACUCCCAAGUCUGAUUUACUGUUUAAUAUCCUAAAACAUUUCGGACAUGAUUUACCGGACUCCACGAAUCGACCAAUCGCAAUCCGUUUGUCGGAGAGGAUCAGUCGUGAUAAAUGCUUUAAUAUAUCAGAGAAAAAUGGCAACAACAACAACAACAACAAAAAAAACCUUCUAUGUUUAAUUUUUUUAAUUUUGUUUUGGCACUCAGGUCACGAUGCCGGUCUUCACACUAAUUUAAUAAUUACUCGAGAAAUGGACCGAGGAUGGUGAUUUGAUGACUGGCGUCCUUUAAAAACGGAAUUUUCCCCCAACCAACAGCAUUUAAAAUAACACGCACCCGACCCAAAUCCGAACACUCGCUCUAAAUAGUUCAAGUUUAUUGAUAAUCGGCAGAAUUUCGUUUUUAAAUCUAAACGCAGGACGUUAAGCGCCCUCGAUCGGACGUAAAUGUCCUGGGUGACUAGAUCACAUCGUUAAUCGUUAAUAUUACGUAACUGUUUGUAAUGGAAAGUUCUGCCACGUUCGCUGUGGUCGAUAAAGGUUUAAAACACCAGUUUGAAUUUCCUGGGCAUUCUAACUCAUUAGAGAAAGUGCGUUCUGUAUCGUACACGUCAGCUGACCCGUCUCUGGAACUUUCCAUACGGCACGUCGGCAUGUAUGAUACGGUAACGAUAGUCAAGUUAAAGGGAAAUAUGUCGAAUCGGCUGUUUGUGCAUCGGGCCUGCUAAGUGCAAGCAGCAGUUAGAGGAUGAGAGCAUGAUGAAGAAUUAAAAGCGAGCGCGGAUUCUAUCCAGGGGGUCGGUGUCCCACAUUUUGGCGUCCCAGCCCUGGAACCAGCCUGUGAAGGUCGGAGGCUCGGUGCCUUGUUUAAUGGUGGUGAUGGGGAUACCACGCCGGCCGGACGGGUCUGUGUCCAGGUACUCUUUAGCUGUGGAGAGGAUAAUAAUAAUAAUAAUAAUAAUAAUAAUAAUAAUAAUAAUAAUAAAAUGUUCCAUUUAUUUAGCCGUGUUCAGUGUUGUGUUACGGCAUAUUUAGACAUCGAGUCUUACCGAUUUUUGGAGCGCCGGUCUUCUCCACUUCGUUAGCUUCGUUGCCCACCCACAGGAAGAGCUACGGAUAAGAGGAUCGUAAUCAUCUUGAGGACUUUACAAUUACUCGGUGUCUCUUAAGACAACAAAGGCCAUGUGCUUUAGUUCGAGUUUAAAUUUUUGUUGUGUCUCCGCCCGCCGUCUCGUCAUCGAAUCACUGUUUCAGUGUUUCCUACGUUCUCCCUAAUCACUCUGCGACGGACGGAGUUCACUCACCUGAUCCCAAGUGUCCAGCAACAUGACGUCGUCGGUGGCCAAAUCCGCCUGGCCGAAGUCACCGGGUACCUCCUCAACCUGCGAGGACAGGAAGUGGAAAAUCGGGAAUGAAUUCAUCCGAGCACGCACCGUAAUGUCUCGUUAAUUUCUUAUUAAUAUCAAGAGAAAAGCUUUUUAUUUAUUUAUUUAUGUAUGUAUGUAUGUAUUUAUUUAUUUACCGUGAGCCGGCCAGACUUGUUGGAGCAGCCGAACAGACGAGGGGGUUUGACGGUAUUUUCAGAGUCACGGAAGUCUGAUAUUCCUUCUUCCCUCCCAGAGCGGUCCAGAAUCCGGCUACGACGAGACGUCAGGGAUUAAAAAGGGUUAAUAUUGCAGCACGGGUCCGUGAAGCGGCGCUUUAAAGGAAUGCUCUGGAAUUCAUUUCUUUUUUAACCUAGUCUCUAUCCAACGCAUCUGUAGUGUACGUGUGAUUAGUAUGGGCAGGAAGUUUGAAAUGUUUCAUUCGUGACAUUUGUUCACUUCAAAUUCACUUACAAUGGAAGUCUAUGGGCAGUUUAUUCUUUUUUCUUUUUUUUUUUGUGAGCAUGAAAACCAAAAGGUGGAUUUUCUAAUAUAAAAUGCAGAGCCAAUCCUGACCUGGCUCUUUGCCCUCGGUGACGUCGGUGGGUUUCCCUCCCAGGAAGCUGACGACGAAUUUGGCACCUUUAACUUCCUCCUCGCUGGCACCGACGCCCCUCCACACGAAGAGCGAAUCGGGAGACUUCAGCACGAACACAUCGUUGGAGUUGAGGUUGGAUGCACAAGGCUUCACCUAGAGUUACAGUCAGAGAGAGAGAUAACGAUAAUUGCACGUGAGGUCAUAUAAACACUAUACACUGGGCAGUAUAAACCAGAUCCAUUCAGUUUAAACUUUAAACCGCGAGACUCCGCCCACUCACCUCCACGGCGCGAGUGGCUUUGGCGGUGCUGGUACGGACGUGGAAGAGACGCGUGGUUCCCGCCUGCGUCUGCCCUCCUUUACGUGACGUUCCUCCACUGUGGAUGAUCAUGGGCUUUCCUUUAAACAAGCUCAUCAGAUUUCCUCCAGAACAAUCUCGAAAUGGAACGAGCAGGAGGACGCGUAUCGUACCUGAACCUUUCCGGACCCGUCGUCCACCAUGUUGUGCUGCGCCGCCAUGGCCUGGUUGGUGUGCAGGGUGGAGGCGUCGAAGGGGACCUGCUUCACCUGUGCGAUCUGCCCGAUGGUGUACGCUUUGCUCGGGCCCGUGGUCUGGUCCUUAUCCUUCCAGUUCGAGAAGAACUGCUUGAAGAGAGUGGUCUCGCCCCCUGCAGGCAGCACCUGGAUCUGCAGGCACGCAAAGGCAAAGACUACACUGUAAUAAAG
Molecule: long non-coding RNA, 3113 nt
Organism: Ictalurus punctatus (channel catfish)
Lineage: Eukaryota; Metazoa; Chordata; Actinopteri; Siluriformes; Ictaluridae
Source: Ensembl